UUCCAGACUCCUACGGGAGGCAGCAGUGAGGAAUAUUGGUCAAUGGACGGGAGCCUGAACCAGCCAAGUCGCGUGAGGGAUGACGGUCCUACGGAUUGUAAACCUCUUUUGCCGGGGAGCAAGCGUGCGUUCGUGAACGCGCGUCGAGAGUACCCGGAGAAAAAGCAUCGGCUAACUCCGUGCCAGCAGCCGCGGUAAUACGGAGGAUGCGAGCGUUAUCCGGAUUUAUUGGGUUUAAAGGGUGCGCAGGCGGAGGUGCAAGUCAGCGGUCAAAUUGCGGGGCUCAACCCCGUCGUGCCGUUGAAACUGGCUGUCUUGAGAUGUCGAGAGGUAUGCGGAAUGCGCAGUGUAGCGGUGAAAUGCUUAGAUAUUGCGCAGAACUCCGAUUGCGAAGGCAGCAUACCGGCGGCGAUCUGACGCUGAGGCACGAAAGCGUGGGUAUCGAACAGGAUUAGAUACCCCGGUACC
Molecule: ribosomal RNA, 468 nt
Filed under: uncultured bacterium
Lineage: Bacteria
Description: bacterial SSU rRNA
Rfam family: Bacterial small subunit ribosomal RNA
Source: RNAcentral